CCUACGGGAGGCAGCAGUGGGGAAUUUUGGACAAUGGGCGCAAGCCUGAUCCAGCAAUGCCGCGUGCAGGAUGAAGGCCUUCGGGUUGUAAACUGCUUUUGUACGGAACGAAACGGUCUGCCCUAAUACGGUGGGCUAAUGACGGUACCGUAAGAAUAAGCACCGGCUAACUACGUGCCAGCAGCCGCGGUAAUACGUAGGGUGCGAGCGUUAAUCGGAAUUACUGGGCGUAAAGCGUGCGCAGGCGGUUAUGUAAGACAGAUGUGAAAUCCCCGGGCUCAACCUGGGACCUGCAUUUGUGACUGCAUAGCUAGAGUACGGUAGAGGGGGAUGGAAUUCCGCGUGUAGCAGUGAAAUGCGUAGAUAUGCGGAGGAACACCGAUGGCGAAGGCAAUCCCCUGGACCUGUACUGACGCUCAUGCACGAAAGCGUGGGGAGCAAACAGGAUUAGAUACCCUGGUAGUCCACGCCCUAAACGAUGUCAACUGGUUGUUGGGUCUUCACUGACUCAGUAACGAAGCUAACGCGUGAAGUUGACCGCCUGGGGAGUCGGCCGCAAGGUUGAAACGUCAAAUGAAUUGAGGCUGAGACGNGCGAGGACGACGACGAGGGAGGAGG
Molecule: ribosomal RNA, 618 nt
Filed under: uncultured bacterium
Lineage: Bacteria
Description: bacterial SSU rRNA
Rfam family: Bacterial small subunit ribosomal RNA
Source: RNAcentral